UGGGGAAUAUUGCGCAAUGGGGGGAACCCUGACGCAGCAACGCCGCGUGAAGGAAGAAGGUUUUCGGAUUGUAAACUUCUUUGGCAGGGGACGAAAAAAGACGGUACCCUGAGAACAAGCCACGGCUAACUACGUGCCAGCAGCCGCGGUAAUACGUAGGUGGCGAGCGUUGUCCGGAAUUACUGGGUGUAAAGGGCGUGUAGGCGGGGAUAUAAGUCAGAUGUGAAAGUCCAAGGCUCAACUUUGGGAUUGCAUCUGAAACUAUGUUUCUUGAGUACUGGAGAGGAAAGUGGAAUUCCCAGUGUAGCGGUGAAAUGCGUAGAGAUUGGGAGGAACACCAGUGGCGAAGGCGACUUUCUGGACAGUAACUGACGCUGAGGCGCGAAAGCGUGGGGAGCAAACAGG
Molecule: ribosomal RNA, 405 nt
Filed under: uncultured bacterium
Lineage: Bacteria
Description: bacterial SSU rRNA
Rfam family: Bacterial small subunit ribosomal RNA
Source: RNAcentral